Molecule: ribosomal RNA, 250 nt
Filed under: uncultured bacterium
Lineage: Bacteria
Description: partial 16S ribosomal RNA
Rfam family: Bacterial small subunit ribosomal RNA
Source: RNAcentral
UACGUAGGUGGCAAGCGUUGUCCGGAAUUAUUGGGCGUAAAGGGCUCGCAGGCGGUUUCUUAAGUCUGAUGUGAAAGCCCCCGGCUCAACCGGGGAGGGUCAUUGGAAACUGGGGAACUUGAGUGCAGAAGAGGAGAGUGGAAUUCCACGUGUAGCGGUGAAAUGCGUAGAGAUGUGGAGGAACACCAGUGGCGAAGGCGACUCUCUGGUCUGUAACUGACGCUGAGGAGCGAAAGCGUGGGGAGCGAAC